CGUGCUCUGGUGGGAGAGGGAGCGUGGGGCUGGGGGAUUGAAUAACCACGAGGAAGGAAAUGCUUUAAAGUCAUUUUUAGUUCUUUGGCAUUUUGUGUCCCUUUGAAUGUGCCUGUGCUUCCAGCAUAGCUCCUGCUUGGGUGUGCCUGGGAGCUAUUUAUACAGAGGGGCUGAUAAACCAGCUCAGGAAGUGGUGGGCAGAAGUGCUGGAGGAUUCCACAUCCUCUGCUUUAUUGAAUCACAAAUAACUUUACAGCAGCUGAAGCUGUCAGGCUCUGAGGGCUGAUCUCAGCUGUGGAGAGCAUCACAGCCCUGUCAGAAGCUGAACCUGUUUAGAUCAGCUGAGGUGUAGUUGAAUCACACCCUUGACUUCCAUUUAGUAUCAACUCUAUGGAAAUCUCAAUGGCCUAAAUUUCAAAAAAUUGAUUGAUAUUGAGAAUUCCCAAUUUCUGGGUUCAUCACUGGAACCUUCCUGGACUUCCCAGAUUUCAUGUUCUGUGAUCACAUAUCACUUUAAGGGCAGCAGUUGGACUGAGGCAAAUCUUAGGUGUAUUACACUGAGAAAAUCCAGAUGAAAUCACUUAAAGCAGUAAUACUUGGAUUCGAUUCUGGGCUUUAGUUUGUCCACAGUCACUUCUCUAGAGGUCGCACACCUUACCAAGAAAAGGGAUUUUUGUAUCUGAGAGUCUUUGACAUCCUCUGAUGGGAGACACUAUGCAAGUGCAGGUGUAAGGUAGUAACCCUGAAAUAGUGGUGGCUUUAAUAGCAGUUUUGAAAUAAGGGUUUUGAGUUUAUACAGCGUUACAAGCAGUUAUAAGAGCAGCAUCUUCCAAGAUUAGAUGUGGUUUAUGCUAUUUUAGAGAUGGCUCCUGUGAUUAAAUGAUACAUAUCUUCCUGCUAACUGGUGUUAGCCCAAUCUCAGCAUCCAGUGGGUUUCCAGCCUUACCUCUUGUCCAUGGAGCUCCAGCUAACUGGAGAAAUUUGCCUUCACAAGUGCAGCUUUCCCCUGUCCUUACUGACCAUUUGCUGCCAACAACUUGGAGAUCCAGAGAGUCACAGAAUCACAGGAUCCUGAGUUGGAAGGGACCCACCAGGAUCAUCAUGUCCAGCUGCUGGCCCUGCACAGGACGCUCCAACAAUCCCCUUGUGCCUCAGAAUAUUGCCCAAAUGCCAGUUGAGCUCAGACAGGCUUGGUGCUGUGACUGUUCCUUGGGGAGCCUGUUCCAGCACCUCUGGGUGAAGAACCUUUAUCCCUGGAAUCUGAGGACUUCCUGCAUAACUGAACAGCCAAAAGAGGUUUUACCACUCUCUGCAGGAGCUGUAGGGUAGAGACUCUGGAUUCAAAAGCUCUGAUUCAGUGCCCAAGCCUGCAUCCUUGUUCCAGCUGUGCCUCCUGAGCUGUUGGUGUGCAGGGGUGUUGGGUGUCCCCAUGUCCCGUGUCACAUCAGUCCCUGUGUGCCAUCUUUCCCCUGACCCCAGCAGGGAACUGCUGCUCUACACAGGCUUAGCAGGAGGCUCUUCUCUCACAGGCCAAGUUGUUGCAGUGCUGAAUGAACAAACAACCUUGUUUGUUGCAGCUUUUCUUUCUUAAGGCCUAUUUAAAAAUAAAAAAAACAAAAAAAAAUCCAAAACCCACUUCAAGUCAUCAGUGGGAAUUUGGCUCUUUAGGUCUGUUGUAGUUUGGCACGUGGGAGUUUGCUCUCCCUCUUCCUUCUUGGGCUUCUUCACAGUUACUGUUUGCGUGUGUUGGAUGUUCCUCUCCUCCCAGGAUGGAAAUGUGUUGGCUCUGGGCCGUGGGUCUGUGCUGCAAUUGCAGCUCCAGCUGAUGCUGCACCUGGUCACUGUCCAUUUAACAGAGCUAAUCCCAGGUUAUCUCUCCCUGGAGAAUUCCAGACUGGAUUUACCAGGGCCUUGCCCUGCAAUGAGCAUUUUGGGCAUCAGCUGAGAAGUGGCCUCGCAGCUGCUCAGAACUGUGAGAGGAAAAGUCUUGGAACGCCCAGUACCCAACGUGACCUGUUCCACUUCCUGCCCCCAAACCCCCUGUUGGUAGAAAACCUUUUCACAGCUCUUGCAGGAUUCCCUGGCUAAGGGAGCUGGGUUUAUCCUGUUUCCCUUGCUCCCCUUUUCCCUGGAGGUCCCAGAAGGAGCAAUACCUCAGGGCUGAUCUGGGCCAGGUGCCAGGCUGGCUGAAAUAACAGGAGUGUGUUCAGCUCUCUGUGCACCUCCCUUCUCUGCUCAUCUGUUCCAGGGGGAGUGUGAGUGGGGAUUAGGCCAGCAGCCUGUGGUACACCUAGAGCCACCUUUGAGCAUGGCUUCACUCCUCUGGUCUAAUUAGCACCACCCAGCCCAGCUUUGAAAGCCUCUCCCACCACUCGAGUUCACACAGGUCAGCUAACCAAGUUAGAAAACCUGGUAGUUUGUACUGCCAGAAUCCUGACCUCCAUGGAAAGCCUGGAUCUUCCACAAGGCAGCUCAGAACUUCCACACCUCACUUGGUGCUCUGUGACAUCUUCUGAAGCAUCUUUUCUCUAGUCGGUGUUGGGGAUUAUGUGGCUUUGCUGUGAAAAGCUCUGAGGAUUGUUCUAACCUAAGAGCCUUCAGCAAUUACUGCUUUUCACAACUGGACGGUGAAAAGCAGUGUCCUCCAAAUCUGAUUAAAUGGAAUACCUCAGAGCAAUUAGGAGCCUUGCUCUGCCUUCUUUGUUGGAUAAGCUCCCAGAAUUAGAAGCCAGAGGCUCCCUGCUGAAGGGAUCACUGGAGCCUGUCAGGCUGCAGCUGGAGAUGCCCUGAGCUUUCCUCCCUGGCCUCCAGCUAUUUCUCUGGAGGGGAACAGAUCUGUUUUGGGUUCUGCAUCACAUCUCCCAGUCCCAUGUGGGUGUCUGGGGUAGCCACUCUGCUGUGGGGGCAGUACCACAGAUCUCCCUUGGUGGAAUCUUAGAUCCCUGCUCUCAGGUAGGCAAAUAAAUUUGAGUGCUUUAAUUUAGAUUGGUGACUUGAUUUUAUGGUAAUUCAAUCAGCCCCAUAACCAAUAAAGCUCUGUAUCCACACCUCCCAGGAGCUGAAGAAAAAUGGGAUUGUGUGAGGCACAGGGAGUUGUCUUCCAUAGCUUCACAAGUGGAAAUCUGCAGCAUGAAGAUAUGUGUCCUCCUGUUUUAGUGAAGGCCAACAUCCUUUUUUUAGCCAUUUAAUCUCUCUUUGGAUGUUGGAAACUGAGAAGUUUCCACAUCUGUGUUGUUACUUUUAUCUGUGGACAAAGACACAUUUACCCUGUUUAAAAGCAGAAUGAGAAAGUCCAGUGAAGUAUGUUCCUUGAAGGUCUGUGGCUCUCAGUCUUUGUAGUUUCUGUCUUCAAACAACAGCUCAGAAUCAGAGCUUUUGCUACGUGCUCCUGUCUGACCUUCAACCAAAUUUCCCCUCUGGGUCUCCUGGUUUUCCUCUUGGAAACAGCUGCUUGCAUUAAAAAGUGCAGAAAUGCAGAGUGCAGGGGCACAGUAGCUGCACAGUGGACACUUGGGUCUUGCUGAUGUGGCCUGAUGUGCUGGAGAGCCUGGAAGGAGCUCAUGGGAAUGGAUGUGGACAUGGAAAUGUGCACCAGCUACGGAAGAGGCAUCACCAGGCUACUGCAGAGAUUCCUUUUAUUUGAAAACCCCUGGUGUGCUGUUUUUGUGCAGCGCUCUGGGGUGGGUGCCUGCUCAGCCCUGCCUGGGGAGUGUUCUCUGACAGCUUCCAUGGUGUGUUCUCCUGGGCUUUCCCACAGCCCUCAAAAAUAAAACACGAUAACUUAUUUCCUUGACACAUCUGAGAGCUCCCAGUUCUCAGACUCCCUUGGGCUUUCCACUUCCAGGCAUUCCUGCUUUGAAGAGUCUUGCAGGAACAAAUUUUAGAGGCCUUUGUUAUGUAAAGCUGUUGCUCCUGAAACAACAUUGCUUUGUAGGAUGUGUUUUAUUUGUGGGAUGUAUUUAUUUGCUAGUCUGUGCCGUAUUUUGAUCUGGGGUCUGGUUUUAAAGUGUUCACAGAGUACUCUGGGCAGGCCAUGCAGGAGUCUCUGUUCCCUUAUUCCAUAGCUCUGGCUGACAGGAUACUCCUAAAAGCAGAAGCUGAACCAGGACCUGCUCUUGAUGUUAAGGAGCUGAAGGCACUGCUGGAUAAUAGUUUAUAAGGACUAAAUAAUGCAUUGCUCGACCAAUGUUUACAUUUGGGUGUGUCCCUCUAAGCUGGGAUGAAGAAAGUGGAGGUAUUUGGUUUGUCUCAUGGCAGACUGAACAUCUUAAGUUGUCACAGAGUCUGAAGCAGGCAUAGGAUGUGAACAUCUCAAAACUCCUACUUUUUGAACUUUUGGAAUCACAGAAUUACUUAAGUUGGAAAAGCCCUUUAAGAUCAUCGAUCCCAACCAUUCCCCCAGCACUGCCAAGGCCACCACUACCCCGUGUCCCCAGGUUCCACAUCCUCAUGGCUUUUAAAUCCCUCCAGGGAUGGGAGCUCCCAACACUGCCCUGGGCAGCUCUGCCAGGGCUGGACAACCCUUUCCAUGAAGAAUCCUAGAAUGGUUGGGGUUGGAAGGGACCUUCAUGAUCAUCCAGUUCCCCUUGCUGUGGAAGAUUUCAACUCAACCCAAGUAGCUGAACCUUGCCUGGAUACAUGAUGUUGCCUUAAGGGUGGAUCUUGGCUCCUGCAGAGGGAAUUUCUCUUCAUUGGAAUUCUCCAUGUCCUUCCUCCUGUUCCUCUCCUGACAUGCCAGAUACAAUCAUGAGACUCCAACAAAAGCAGAGACACUGAGAUGAUCCAAAACCAGCCUAGCAGGAGGAUCUCCAAAGUGUGACUCUUGUAGCUGAGGCUCUUGUGCCACCAGCUGGUGGCCUGCAGUCCUGGAUCUCAUGUUCUCCAAGGUCUUUGGGAUGGGGACAGUGGCUGAUGAUGACCCUGUCGUGGGUGCAUUCUUCAUCUCUAGGUCCUACACCCUCUUAGCAGUGGAAAUCCUACAGCGAUCUAGAAAUCCCACUUCAGCCUCAAAAACCUGCUUUCCAUGCCUUGUGCGUUAAAUAAACAGUCUCCUGGAUUGUA
Parus major (Great Tit) is the source of this 5061-nucleotide long non-coding RNA. RefSeq lists it as uncharacterized. NCBI's taxonomy places the organism in Eukaryota, Metazoa, Chordata, Aves, Passeriformes, Paridae. The record is from RefSeq and is a predicted model, not a curated record. The transcript is spliced from 2 exons.